GCAAAUAUCGUUCAAAAAAGAAAUUACCUUGAAUCAAUUAACAACACUAUAUGACUGGAAGAGUGAGCAGGGACACCAUACAAACUCUUCGCUAUCAAGAUAAUGUUCUUUGUGUUUUAGCAAAUCCUAUCUUUAAUUCAGAAAGCAUCAAAAGCAUUUUUAUUGGAUUGCUUUCAUCUUGCGGCAGUAAUUCGAUGACUGUAGUCUGCAUAGAUGAAAUAAUUAGGCGUAUAAGUGUACAAGGUUUUGACCCUUCGAGAGUGAAACAAAGCAGAAUUAUAUAUGGAGCAGAAAUGCAAGAGUCAUAGAUCCAUAGAGUUGCAAAGAAAGUGGAUGAAACCAGAGGGAAAAURAAUAGUGCUUGCACCGAUGUCAGUAUAGGAAAYAUCGUUACAAAACCUGGCUGCAAGGGAGUAUGGGUGAUCAUUGACCUGGAAAUACCAAUCAUCUUAGCGUCAUUAAAUGGAAGAAAACACACCAACUAUAUAGCAAGGAGCCGCCCACCUCUGGGCGCUUACCAUGGUGGAACCUGGAUUUUCUGGAAAGAGGUUUGCUGGAAAAAGUUUAACGYGGCACAAAAAAGAGUUUCCAGGGACCAAUUCCAGGAUGGGAGCUCGMACMACCURCAGCCCCUCCCAUCUCUUCCUUUUAUCUAUUUAUCUCACAGCGACAGUGAAUACUGGUGAUUAGGCCACAGCCAACSCUCACAGAAUAAUGGUUACCAAGAGCUGUAAACUGAAUAUUUCACGACGAUCAAUCAAAAAAUUAAUGAAAGAGGUUGCCUUAUUCGACCUAUACGUGUAAAUAAUGUGUAUACGUGUUUUUAAUGUAAUUUACUAUAUCUUAAUCGGUUGUCAUUUUUAACUACUUCCAGAGACUGCAUCGGGGAGUUUAUAAUGCUAUAACGACAUCCUCUACUAAUAACUUGAUCAAUGUUGGCAAAUUGGGAGUUUAUAGUCUAGACAGGAAAGUUUUAUAUUGUUAAAGUACAAUAUACGACGUCUAUGAAAAGUAUUAGUGUCAUUACAAUGCGUUUCAUCCCCAACCACACUACAACCUAAAGACUUGAAAACAGAAAAUAAAUAAAAAAAGACUAAGCUAGUA
Exaiptasia diaphana is the source of this 1104-nucleotide long non-coding RNA. RefSeq lists it as uncharacterized. The transcript is spliced from 2 exons. The record is from RefSeq and is a predicted model, not a curated record. NCBI's taxonomy places the organism in Eukaryota, Metazoa, Cnidaria, Anthozoa, Actiniaria, Aiptasiidae.